This 7243-nucleotide long non-coding RNA is filed under the name Salvia miltiorrhiza (redroot sage). RNAcentral describes it as "long non-coding RNA (SMIL_LNC004879)". Lineage: Eukaryota; Viridiplantae; Streptophyta; Magnoliopsida; Lamiales; Lamiaceae. The record is from RNAcentral.
AAAGCUCACUUGUCCCUGUCAUUUGUAAAAGAACUUAAAGCUCACUUAUCCUCAUUGUUAAUUGAAGAGCUUAAAGCAUAAAGCUCACUUGUCCCUGCUGCAUAUUAAACAGCAUAAAGCUCGCGUGUCCCUAUGGCUUAUAGAAAAGCUUGAAGGUUAGUUGUCCCAGUCUCUUAUAGAAGAGUUUAAAGCUCACGCUCCCUGUUGCUUAUAAAAGAGAUUAAAAUAAUCUUGUCCAUGUCCCUAAUAGAACAACUUAAAGCUCACAUAAAAGAGCAUGUAGCUCACGUGUCCAUAUGGAUAUAAAAUAGCAUAAAGCUCAACGUUUCCUUCCCAUUUAUGAAAAAGCUUAGAGGUCACUUGUCCCUCUCGCUUAUAAAAGGGCUUAAAGCUCACGGGUCCCUGUUGUUUAAUAUAAGAGCUUAAAGCUCACUUUUCUCUGCCACUCGUAAAAGACCAUAAAGCUUACUUGCUCCUGCCGCUUAUAAAAGAGCGUAAAGCUCACUUGUCCCUGUCAUUUAUGAAAGAGUUUUAACGCUCACUUGUUCCCAUCAUUAAUUAAAGAGCUUGAAGCAUAACGCUCACUUGUCCCUGCUGCUUAUUAAAGAGCAUAAAGCCCACUUGUCCCUCUGGCUUAUGGAAAAGCUUAAAGGUUGCUUGUCCCUGUCUCCUAUAGAAGAGUUUAAAGCUCAUGUGUCCAUGUUGCUUAUAAAAGAGAUUAAUAUAAACUUGUCCAUGUCCCUACUAAAAUAACUUAAAGCUCACAUAAAAGAGCAUGACGCUCACGUGUCCCGAUGUUGAUUAUAAAAGAGCUUAAAGCUCACUUGUCCUCGUCGCUUGCAAAAGAGCUAAAGCUCACUUGUCCCCCCUCCCCCCGCGCUUAUAAAAGAACUUAAAAGCUCACUUGUCUCUGCCGCUUAUAGAAGAGCUCAAAGUUCUGGGGUCUGUGUAUAUAAAAGAGCUUAAAGCUCAUGUGUCCCGGUUGCUUAUAAAAGAGCUUAAAGCUCACUUGUCCCUCUCGUUUAUAAAAAAGAGCAUAAAGGUCACAUGUCUUUAUCGCUUCUUAAAGAGCUUAAAGCUCACUUGUCCCUAUGGCUUAUAAAAGAGCUUGAAGCUCAUUCGUCCUGCUGCUUAUAAAAGAGUAGGAAGCUCACGUGUCAAUGUGGCUCAUAAAAGAGCUUAAAGUUUGCUUGUCUCUGUAGCUUAUAAAAGGGCUUAAAGCUGAAAGCUCAUGUGUCCUAUUGGCUUAUAAAAGAGUUUAAAGCUCACGUGUCCCUUCUGUUCAUAAAAGAGUUUAGUGCUCAUGUGUCCCUCUUACUUACAAAAGAGCGCAAUGCUCAUGUGUCACUCCUAAGCAAGAGCUUAAUGCUCACAUGUCCCUGGUGCUUAUAAAAGAGCUUAAAGCUCAUGUGUCCCGGUUGCUUAUAAAAGUGCUUAACACUCACGUGUCCUUGCUUAAGAAAGAGUUUAAUGCUCAUAACCCAAUGAUUACGAAAUAGCUUGAUGAUCAUGUGUGAAAGCGCUUAAUGCUCAAAUGUCCCUGUUGCUUAUCUAAAAACUUUCUCGAGUGUCCCUGUUGCAUAUGAAAAGAGCUUAAUGCGCACGUAUCCCUCAGAGCUGAUGCUCACAUGUCCCUCAUGUGUCCCUGUGGCAUAUGAAAGAGCUUACAGCUCACUUGUCCCUAUCAAUUAUAAAAGUGCUUAAAGCUCACUUGUGCCUAUUCCUUAUUAAAGCGCCUAAAGCUUACGUGUUCCCUGUUGCUGAUAAAAGAGUUUCAAGUUUACUUGCCCCCAUCGCUUAUAAAAGAGCUUAAAGCUCACAUAAAAUAGCAUGAAGCUCACUUGUCCUUGUGAAUUAUAAAAGAGUUUAGAGCUCACUUGUCGGUGUCGCUUAUAAAAGAGCUUAAAGCUCACUUGUCCCUCCCACUUAUACAAGAGCAUAAAGCUCACGUGUCCUGGUUGCUUGUAAAAUAGCUUAUAGCUGACUUGUCCCUCUCUCUCGCUCUCUUAUAAAAGAGCUUAAACCUCACGUCUCCCUGUCACUUAUGAAAGAGCAUUCAGCUCACUUGUCUAUGUCACUUAUAAAGAGCUCAAAGCUCAUGUGUCUAUGUCCCUUAUAAAAGAGCAUGAAGCGCACGUGUCUCUGUGGCCUAUAAAAGAGCUUAAAGCUCACUUCUCCCUGUUGCUUAUCAAAGAGCUUAAAAGUUACUUGUCCCUCCCCAUUUGUAAAUGUCCCUGUCGUUUAUAAAAUUGCAUAUAGCUCAUGUGUCCUUGAUGCUUGUAAAAGAGCUUAAAGCUCACGUGUCUAUAUCGCUUAUAAAAGAGCUUAAAGCUCUAUAUCGCUUAUAAAAGGCUUAAAGCUCAUGUGUCUCUAUUGCUAAGGCUCAUGUGUCCCUAUUGUUUAUAAAAGAGCUUAACGGCACAGUUACUCUUGCUUAUAAAAGAGCUUAAUGCUCAUUUAUCCUAAUGAUUAUGAAGUAGCACAAUGCUUAUGAAAGAACUUGCUCAAAUGUCCAUGUUGCUUAUGAAAAGCGUCUAAUGCUCAGGUAUCACUCAUAGCUUGAUUCUCACAUGUCCCUACUGCUUAUGAAAGAGCUUAAAGCUCACUUAUCGUGUGGCUUAUGAAAGAGCCUAAAGCUCACUUGCCCUUGUUACUUAUAAAAUAGCAUAAAGCUCACUUGCCCAUGCUGCUUAUUGAAAAACUUUAAAGCUCACUUGUCCCUGUCAUUUGUAAAAGAACUUAAAGCUCACUUAUCCUCAUUGUUAAUUGAAGAGCUUAAAGAUAAAGCUCACUUAGGUCCCUCUGCAUAUUAAACACUAAAGCUCGCGUGUCCCUAUGGCUUAUAGAAAGCUUGAAGGUUAGUUGUCCCAGUCUCUUAUAAAAGAGUUUAAAGCUGACGCUCCCUGUUGCUUAUAAAAGAGAUUAAAAUAAUCUUGUCCAUGUCCCUAAUAGAACAUCUUAAAGUCACAUAAAAGAGAUGAGCUCACGUGUCCAUAUGGAUAUAAAAUAGCAUAAAGCUCAACGUUUCCUUCCCAUUUAUGAAAAAGCUUAGAGGUCACUUGUCUCUCUCGCUUAUAAAAGGGCUUAAAGCUCACGGGUCCCUGUUGUUUAAUAUAAGAGCUUAAAGUUCACCUUUCUCUGCCACUCGUAAAAGACCGUAAAGCUUACUUGCUCCUGCCGCUUAUAAAAGAGCGUAAAACUCACUUGUCCCUGUCAUUUAUGAAAGAGUUUUAACGAUCACUUGUUCCCAUCAUUAAUUAAAGAGCUUGAAGCAUAACGCUCACUUGUCCCUGCUGCUUAUUAAACAACAUAAAGCCCACUUGUCCCUCUGGCUUAUGGAAAAGCUUAAAGGUUGCUCGUCCCUGUCUCCUAUAGAAGAGUUUAAAGCUCAUGUGUCCAUGUUGCUACUAAAAUAACUUAAAGCUCACAUAACAGAGCAUGACGCUCACAUAUCCCGAUGUUGAUUAUAAAAGAGCUUAAAGCUCACUUGUCCUCGUCGCUUGCAAAAGAGCUUAAAGCUCACUUGUCCUCGUCGCUUGCAAAAGAGCUAAAGCUCACUUGUCCCCCAACGCCCCCGCUUAUAAAGAGCUUAAAAGCUCACUGUCUCUGCGCUUAUAAAGAGUUAAAGUUCUGGGGUCUGUAUAAAAGAGCUUAAAGCUCACUUGUCCCCUCGUUUAUAAAAAAGAGCAUAAAGGUCACAUGUCUUUAUCGCUUCUUAAAGAGCUUAAAGCUACUUGUCCCUAUGGCUUAUAAAAGAGCUUGAAGCUCAUUCGUCCUGCUGUUAAAAGAGUAUGAAGUUCACGUGUCCCUGUGGCUCAUAAAAGAGCUUAAACUUUGCUUCUCCCUGUAGCUUAUAAGGCGUAAAGAACUAUGUCAGUGUUCCUAUGGUAUAAAGUUUAAAGCUCACGUGUCCCUUCUGUUCACAGAAGAGUUUAGUGCUCAUGUGUCCCUCUUACUUACAAAAGAGCGCAAUGCUCAUGUGUCACUCCUAAGCAAGAGCUUAAUGCUCACAUGUCCCUGGUGCUUAUAAAAGAGCUUAAAGCUCAUGUGUCCCGGUUGCUUAUAAAAGUGCUUAAGACUCACGUGUCCUUGCUUAAAAUGCUCAUAACCCAAUGAUUACGAAAUAGCUUGAUGAUCAUGUGUGAAAGCGCUUGAUGCUCAAAUGUCCCUGUUGCUUAUCUAAAAACUUUCUCGAGUGUCCCUGUUGCAUAUGAAAAGAGCUUAAUGCGCACGUAUCCCUCAGAGCUGAUGCUCACAUGUCCCUCAUGUGUCCCUGUGGCAUAUGAAAGAGCUUACAGCUCACUUGUCCCUAUCAAUUAUAACAGAGCUUAAAGCUCACUUGUCCCUAUUCCUUAUUAAAGCGCCUAAAGCUUACGUGUUCCGUGUUGCUUAUAAAAGAGUUUCAAGUUUACUUGCCCCCAUCACUUAUAAAAGAGCUUAAAGCUCACAUAAAAUAGCAUGAAGCUCACUUGUCCUUGUGAAUUAUAAAAGAGUUUAGAGCUCACUUGUCGGUGUCGCUUAUAAAAGAGCUUAAAGCUCACUUGUCCCUACUUAUACAAGAGCAUAAAGCUACGUGUCCUGGUUGCUUGUAAAUAGCUUAUAGAUUCCUCUCUCUCUCUUAUAAAAGAGCUUAAACCUCACGUCUCCCUGUCACUUAUAAAAGAGCAUUCAGCUCACUUGUCUAUGUCUUAAAAGAGCUCAAAGCUCAUGUGUCCAUGUCCCUUAUAAAAGAGCAUGAAGCGCACGUGUCUCUGUGGCCUAUAAAAGAGCUUAAAGCUCACUUCUCCCUGUUGCUUAUCAAAGAGCUUAAAAGUUACUUGUCCCUCCCCAUUUGUAAAUGUCCCUGCGUUUAUAAAAUUGCAUAUAGCUCAUGUGUCCUUGAUGCUUGUAAAAGAGCUUAAAGCUCACGUGUCUAUAUCGCUUAUAAAAGAGCUUAAGGCUCAUGUGUCUCUAGCUUAAGGCUCAUUUGUAAAAAAGAGCUUAACGGCACAUGUUCUCUUGCUUAUAAAAGAGCUUAAUGCUCAUAUCCUAAUGAUUAUGAAGUAGCACAAUGCUUAUGAAAGAAUUGCUCAAAUGUCCAUGUUGCUUAUGAAAAGCGUCUAAUGCUCAGGUAUCACUCAUAGCUUGAUUCUACAUGUCCCUACUGCUUAUAAAGAGCUUAAGCUCACUUAUCGUGUGGCUUAUGAAAGAGCCUAAAGCUCACUUGCCCUUGUUACUUAUAAAAAGCAUAAAGCUCACUUGCCCAUGCUGCUUAUUGAAAAACUUAAAGCUCACUUGUCCCUGUCAUUUGUAAAAGAACUUAACUCACUUAUCCUCAUGUUAAUUGAAGAGUUAAAGCAUAAAGCUCACUUGUCCCUCUGCAUAUUAAACAGCAUAAAGCUCGCGUGUCCCUAUGGCUUAUAGAAAAGCUUGAAGGUUAGUUGUCCCAGUCUCUUAUAGAAGAGUUUAAAGCUCACGUCCUGUUGCUUAUAAAAGAGAUUAAAAUAAUCUUGUCCAUGCCCUAAUAGAACAACUUAAAGCUCACAUAAAAGAGCAUGUAGCUCACGUGUCCAUAUGGAUAUAAAAUAGCAUAAAGCAACUUUCUUCCCAUUUAUGAAAAAGCUUAAGGUCACUUGUCCCUCUCGCUUAUAAAAGGGCUUAAAGCUCACGGUCCUGUUGUUAAUAUAAGAGCUUAAAGCUCACUUUUCUCUGCCACUCGUAAGACCAUAAAGCUUACUUGUCUGCCGCUUAUAAAAGAGCGUAAACUCACUUGUCCUGUCAUUUAUGAAAGAGUUUUAACGCUCACUUGUUCCCAUCAUUAAUUAAGAGCUUGAAGCAUAACGUCACUGUCCACUGCUUAUUAAAGAGCAUAAAGCCCACUUGUCCCUAUGGCUUAUGGAAAAGCUUAAAGGUUGCUUGUCCCUGUCUCCUAUAGAGUUUAAAGCUCAUGUGUCCAGUUGCUUAUAAAAGAGAUUAAAUAAACUGUCCAUGUCCCUACUAAAAUAACUUGAAGCUCACGUGUCCCGAUGUUGAUUAUAAAAGAGCUUAAAGCUCACUUGUCCUCGUCGCUUGCAAAAGAGCUAAAGCUCACUUGCCCCCCCUCCCCCUCCGCCUCUUAUAAAAGAACUUAAAAGCUCACUUGUCUCUGCCGCUUAUAGAAGAGCUCAAAGUUCUGGGGUCUGUGUAUAUAAAAGAGCUUAAAGCUCAUGUGUCCCGGUUGCUUAUAAAAGAGCUUAAAGCUCACUUGUCCCUCUCGUUUUUAAAAAAGAGCAUAAAGGUCACAUGUCUUUAUCGCUUCUUAAAGAGCUUAAAGCUCACUUGUCCCUAUGGCUUAUAAGAGAGCUUGAAGCUCAUUCGUCCUGCUGCUUGUAAAAGAGUAUGAAGCUCACGUGUCCCUGUGGCUCAUAAAAGAGCUUAAAGUUUGCUUGUCCCUGUAGCUUAUAAAAGGGCUUAAAGCUGAAUGCUCAUGUGUCCUAUUGGCUUAUAAAAGAGUUUAAAGCUCACUUGUCCCUUCUGUUCACAAAAGAGUUUAGUGCUCAUGUGUCCCUCUUACUUACAAAAGAGCGCAAUGCUCAUGUGUCACUCCUAAGCAAGAGCUUAAUGCUCACAUGUCCCUGGUGCUUAUAAAAGAGCUUAAAGCUCAUGUGUCCCGGUUGCUUAUAAAAGAGCUUAAAGCUCACUUGUCCCUCUCGUUUAUAAAAAAGAGCAUAAAGGUCACAUGUCUUUAUCGCUUCUUAAAGAGCUUAAAGCUCACUUGUCCCUAUGGCUUGUAAAAGAGCUUGAAGCUCAUUCGUCCUGCUGCUUAUAAAAGAUUAUGAAGCUCACGUGUCCCUGUGGCUCAUAAAAGAGCUCGUCUCUGUAGCUUAUAAAAGGGCUUAAAGCUGAAAGCUCAUGUGUCCUAUUGGCUUAUAAAAGAGUUUAAAGCUCACGUGUCCCUUCUGUUCAUAAAAGAGUUUAGUGCUCAUGUGUCCCUCUUUACUUACAAAAGAGCGCAAUACUCAUGUGUCACUCCUAAGCAAGAGCUUAAUGCUCACAUGUCCCUGGUGCUUAUAAAAGAGCUUAAAGCUCACGUGUCCCGGUUGCUUAUAAAAGUGCUUAACACUCACGUGUCCUUGCUUAAGAAAGAGUUUAAUGCUCAUAACCCAAUGAUUACGAAAUAGCUUGAUGAUCACGUGAGAAAGCGCUUAAUGCUCAAAUGUACGUGUUGCUUAUCUAAAAACUUUCUCGAGGGUCCCUGUUGCAUAUGAAAAGAGCUUAAUGCGUA